This 301-nucleotide ribosomal RNA is filed under the name uncultured bacterium. RNAcentral describes it as "partial 16S ribosomal RNA". It matches the Rfam family "Bacterial small subunit ribosomal RNA", at positions 509 to 809 of the family's 1533-position model. The record is from RNAcentral.
CAGUCGCCGCGGGAAUACGAAGGGUGCAAGCGUUAAUCGGAAUUACUGGGCGUAAAGCGUGCGUAGGCGGUGAGUUAAGUCUGCUGUGAAAUCCCCGGGCUCAACCUGGGAAUGGCAGUGGAUACUGGCUCGCUAGAGUGUGUCAGAGGAUGGUGGAAUUCCCGGUGUAGCGGUGAAAUGCGUAGAGAUCGGGAGGAACAUCAGUGGCGAAGGCGGCCAUCUGGGACAACACUGACGCUGAGGCACGAAAGCGUGGGGAGCAAACAGGAUUAGAUACCCCAGUAGUCCCUGUCUCUUAUAA